AUUGAACGCUGGCGGCAUGCUUUACACAUGCAAGUCGCACGGUAACAGGCCUUCGGGCGCUGACGAGUGGCGAACGGGUGAGUAAUGCAUUGGAACGUUCCCAGUCGUGGGGGAUAACCAUCCUAAUGGAUUGCUAAUUCCGCAUACGAUCUGCGGAUGAAUGCGGGGGACCUUCGGGACUCGCGUGAUUGGAGCUGCCGAUGUCAGCUUAGGUACUUGGUGGGGUAUAGGCUCACCAAGCCAACGAUCUGUGGCUGGUCUGAGAGGACGACCAGCCACACUGGAACUGAGACACGGCCCAGACUCCUAAGGGAGGCAGCAGUGGGGAAUUUUGGACAAUGGGCGCAAGCCUGAUCCAGCAAUGCCGCGUGCAGGAUGAAGGCCUUCGGGUUGUAAACUGCUUUUGUACGGAACGAAAAGCCCUGGGUUAAUACCCUGGGGUCAUGACGGUACCGUAAGAAUAAGCACCGGCUAACUACGUGCCAGCCGCCGCAGUAA
RNAcentral lists this ribosomal RNA (498 nucleotides) under uncultured bacterium. RNAcentral describes it as "partial 16S ribosomal RNA". It matches the Rfam family "Bacterial small subunit ribosomal RNA", at positions 30 to 523 of the family's 1533-position model. The record is from RNAcentral.